GCCAAGACACAAGAAGAGGAAGGUAGGAAGAGGAAGAGGAAAUACAGGAAGACAGAGAACAUGAGGAGUAGGUAGGUUUUUCUCUUUGGUAAUAGGAAGAAGAAAGAGGUCUUAAUUCUCUUUUAUCAAAGAAGAGUGAGAAAAGCUGGGUUGAGGGAGUAAGAAGAGGUGUGGGAAGGUGUGAGAGUGGUUUCACACCAUAGGAAAAUACACUCAGUAGAGAAAUGUACUAGGAUUGCUAGGUACCGUUGGGUGCUUGUUUGGGGUCUGUGAUAAUGAUCAGGAUGCCACCGGUCACUGCAGAAGUCUUGAGUGUCAUUUUCCUAGCAUCGUUUAGCAUCUUUGAUGCAGGCAUGUGUUCAAACAAGUUGGAGUUUUGACAGGUGAAUGUGAUAUCUUCAUCAGAGGGACAAGUUUGUUGAGGGCGGUUGCCGGGGAGCGAUGGACCAUGAAAUCUAAUCUGGGAAACAGGGAUGUGAAAACAGAAAAGGAAUGAUGAAUAGUAGAAAGUGAUUACUGACAUAUGUUAGAACCAUGGGUAGAGGAACAAGUGAGCUGGAAAGAUAGGAGGUGGUAUUUGAGAAGUAGAGUAGUGAAAGUGCAGUUUCAGAGGGGGUGCCAUCACUGGUGAUGACUAGGGUCAUCGCCAUGGGUGAAGAUGGCUGAAGUGAAGUGUGGAAAAAAUGUACUGGAAUUGGAGGGGCCAAGACCAGAGAGACCAGGAUGUGUCAUCCUUGUGAGGUCAAACAUCUCUGAGAAUAAUGACAGCUAUAAGGGUGGGGAGGACAGUGAACCAAAAUCUUCUACGAGAGGACUCUAGGAAGGAAGUCAACAUUUGACAGCCAAGAAACAGAAGAAAAUGUGGCAAAUAAGAAGGCAGGAGACUCAAAAGAUCUGGGCUUGGUAGGAAGAGAAAUGGCUUGGGUAUGGAAAUGAGGAGCAUUUUAUGCUUUCCUUCUGGUCCUGAGAUGAGAGGAGUGUGUGAAGGUUGCCAGGGAGUGGUAUCCUCAGGGAACAGCCAGGUACAUUCCAGAAGGUGGAGAACCAGAGGAUUUUGCUGAUCGUGGAUCCAGAAUUCAUGGAUCUAGAAGGCAUGGGAAGGGCUAACAGAGGUCAGGAAAGGGUGAGGGAUUGGGUAAGACUAGGCACUUCUAUGAGGCACAGAGUCUGGAAAAGGGACAAGGAACAAGACCAGACGGUUAGGGAUAAAAAUGGAGACCAUCUUGUGGCUACAGACAGAAGCUGGGAGGAAAAUGUAAAUACUGGGCUGAAGACAAAGAACUAUUUCUUCUGAGGUCUCCAAAAUAAAUGUUUUCUCCCACUGUUUCUCUAAAAUUGAUAUUGACUCUCUUCAAAGGAAUGAGGGGGGUGCCAGAAGCACUAAAAGGGGAGAAAAAUUGAAAGGGAGAGAAAAAAGAUUUCUUUCAGUCAUUUACAAACAGUUUUCUUCUGAUCCAAAUAUCAUUAACUGUUCUUUCCUGACAAUUUGCAGAGGAUAGAGAUUUUAAGAAGAACGUAGCAAUCCCUUAUAAUUUCCCCCACUAGAGAAUACCACUGCUAGUAUUUUUGCAACAUUCUUGCCUGCCAGCCCCCAACACAUAUAUUGGCAUCUUCACAGAGAUGAUACAUAUACAGAGUAUCACAGUGGGAACGAGGAAAGCUGGAGAAGCUCACCUUCCACAGCCCUGAUGGUCUCAAAAAGUGGUGAGGGGUUGAGAAGUAUCUAGGAGAGUGGCAAAUGUCCACAAAGACUGCUCUGGUGAUGUCAGCAGGAAGUCAGCAAGGGAUGUGUAAAGAGUUACUGUGCAACACUGAGUGCUCAGAGAGAUAACUGGAUUCUGCCAAUUCCUAUCUGCCCCCCUCCCACCCCCCAGGAUUCUCUAUGUGGACAUUCUGCCAACUCCCACUACUCCCCUACACCCAAAUUACAAAAAAAAAAAAAGUCACUGGAGAGCAUCAGUUACUCUAGAAAACUUACAGCAAUUUUUAAAAGAUCACAUCAGCAAAACUGAGUUUCCAAUUCUCCCCUGUAAUUGCUACAUGUGGCAUGAUUCUCCUUCUCUCCCUAGCUGUAAGCUUAAAAAUGAAAUAAAGAAAAGAGGAAAUUUUAAAAAAACAAAUAGACUUUAAUUCAGAUGUUGGCACACAUCAUAAAAGAAGAAAUGACUUAAAAGAAUAUGGUGGGCAACUUAUUUUGUCAGAUAACCGCAUUGUGAGGGAAGAGGGGGCCCAACUCCCGAUCUGAACCCAGAUCAUCUGCAUUCACCCUGAAUUAGAUAACGUAAUUGAGACUUAUGUAAGAGUUUUAAUUUUUCAAAGUCUUUCAAAUACACUCUAAAAGAAUUCCUAAACAAAAUUUCCAUACUAAAAAAAACUCACAUGCUGUCCCCCCGCAAGAAGUUUAUCUUCUGUACCUGUCUCCCAUUCUAGUGUGUAAUACAACUCCCAAUAAUUCUUUUACUCUUAAGAGUCUUAGUCCCCAAGGUCACGAUUCCUGCUCUUGCUUUUUCUUGACAGCACAGAGGCAUGAAGUGGCAGCAGGUGCACAAAGCUGCUGACCUGGAGAGCAGAGAGGUGGACAGCUCCAGGCCAGGAGGGCUGCAGGACCCGAGCAGGUGGGCCAGGGGACGGGCAGGCAGCAGAGACAAGGAAGUGAGGAGGAUUCACAUCAGGGCUGGGACACCAUGGGGUCUGUGGUCCCUGACCAGAGGCAGAGGUCAGGGAGAACUAGCAGGCAGGAACAGCACCAGGCAGCUGCAAAAGGAGAAGUGUGGCACUUAACACGUCACUGAAACUUUAUCCUUGGACAAACUUCCUUCCUGCCCUUGCUUCUGAGUUUUUCUCAAGCCACAGUGGCACUGGGUAAGUAAGCAACACAGAUGCAUGACCAGGUAAGGGUUUUUUUUUUUUCCUUUAGAUGCAGCCUGAAAAACAAAUGCAUAUCAAAUCCUCAUGAAUCUUUUCCCCUAAGGUUUUGAGCUUGAGAUAAAAAUUCUCCUGGGUUUGUCCUUACUGAAUGGAUAAGGGUUCCCAGCGAAUAGAUUUUUUUUUCUUUUAAUUAACCAGGCAAUUGUAUUCUUAUCCAUUAUAAGGAGGACCCUCAAAGGACAUCGUCUGCCCAUGGAGUCUUAUGUCCUUCAGAAACCAAAGAUGUCCUCUUAUCUCUUCCCCAUUGCUUAAAGGGAUGGGGACAAAGGAGGAAAACAUAGUUAAACCAGCACCCAUGACUUUAUUUCUUAUUCCCUCAUUCUGAUUCUUCAUUGCUUUCCCUCUUUCAUUCCAACUCUUCAGUUUCUGCAAAUUUCUCCUCUUAUGCAGUGUUUCUGUGUAUUUUUAGCUGAUAGCUAAAUCUGAGAAUAAUAACAGCUACCUUUAGAAUAGUGCCCCACAGAGAGUAAGUCCUCAGUAAAUAAUCAAUUGAAUUAAUUUAAAUAUGAUUGUCAUUAUUAGCGGAAUAAGCACUUAUUAUAUGCCAGACUGCAUUUAACAUUUGUGAUUUCACUGUACCUUCACAGUAGUUUGAGAUUGGCAUUUUUCUCCCCAUUUUACAGAAAAGGAAACUGAGUCACAGAAAGGUUAUGCUGCUUCUCUCAGCAUGUACCAAUGUCUGCUGUUAAAUGGUGGAGUCAGGAUCCAAUAGCAGCAGUCUGAACCAGACCUCAAUGAUGAGGGUUUUUGUUGUUUUUAUUUGUUUUAAUUUGAAUUAUAGUUAACAUACACGGCAAUAUAGGUUUCAGAAGUAGAAUUCAGUGAUUCAUCACUUACAUACAACAGCCAGUGCUCGUGACAACAAGUGCCCUCCUUAGUUCCCAUCACCCAUCCAGCCCACCCCUCACUCACCUCCCUCCAUCAACCUUCAGUUUGUUCUCUAUUGUUAAGAGUCUCUUCUGGUUUGUUUCCCUCUCUUCUCCAUGAUGAGGGUUUUAAGGGGAGUAUGGUCGGCAUUGUAACCUACGAUGGGAUUGGGAGCAUCAAAUCUAGGAGGUUGUAAAGAUAUUUUGUGAGCAUUCUUUCUAAAUUUUGAUUAUUAACAAUUUCAAACAAGUAAAAAUAAGUAGAAUAGUAUAAUAAACCUCCUUAUAUUAUCAUCCAGGUUCAAUAAUUAUCUAUCUUGUUUUAUCUAAACCUGCAGUCCCCACCAUUGCCCUAAAUCAUUUGAAGCAAUUCCCAAAUAUUGUUUCAUGUGUAAGUCUCGUAUAUAUCUCUAAAAGAUACUGACUAUAUUUAAAAAAUCAGUAACAUCAUUUCAGCUAAAAAUAAAAUAAAACAAAAAAUGAGACUACUCUGAGUCUUUAGAUACUUAAUUUUUAAAAUACAUACUAUACCUUACAGUGGAAUGGGAAAGGGAGAAAGCUGUUUUUUGAUGCAUAGAGGUGUCCUGAAAUGUAGAAAGUCUAGAUGCUUCUUUUAACUGUGGAUACUCAGUGAAGGUAAGGUGAGGUGUUACAAAUAAGGAGAUUUAGUAUUAGGAAAUAUGCUGCAGUUCAAGUAUUGAGAUUUUCUUUUGACCUUAAAUACAAUGCUGGGGAAAAUGGGCCUUACUAUACAUCUUAUUCCCCAUCACCAGAUUUGUGACCUGCCAUCUUUCAGUGCUACUGCUUUCCAAGGAUACCUUUUUCUUCACGAAUUGCUACCUAUUGAAGUGAUGCUCAUUUCAGCCACGCAGAUCUGGACAGUCUUUGCCUCCACCUCUCUGGCAUUUUUUUGUUGACUGCAUAUUCCCUGGCACAUAAGCAAUCUGAAAAUGGCCAGCUAUUCUGAAUUACACCCUUAUUUUAAAUGUGUCUGUUUGUGUCAAAUGGAAAUGUUUAUUUUUAGAAGAUUAUUGAUAGAAACUGGGGAGCAACACUGAAGUAUCUUCAGUUUCCUGAAAGCACGUUGAAUUCUCCAUUAGAUGAGCCACGGAUAUUGUUCACAUUAUCUUUCUAACAUUGCACGCGUCCUUUGUGUAUUUAAGUGUUCCUCAAAGUAUGUAGAAUUAAUGUUAAAAAGUAAAUACCUACUAUGAGUCAGGUAUUGUCUUAGACUUGAAUAUGAAAUAGUAAAUAAAACAGACACAGUUUCAGCCCUCUCACAAGAGACAGACGUUAAACAUAUAAUCGCCUAGAAUAUAAAAUUAGAAACUGUGAAGGAAAAGAGCAAGAUACUAGAAAUAAUAAUGGGAAAGCCCUCUUUGAAUUGGAGGAGGGAAGUGGCAGAGGCUGUUGUGAGAAAGUAAUAUGUGCUGUGACUUGAAGGAUGACCAGAGUCAGCUAGAUGAAGUGUGUGAGGAAGAGUGGUUCAGGCAAAGGAAACAGCAUGUGCAAAGACCCGGAGGCAUGCAAGAAUUUGACGAGUUCAAGGACCCAAAGGAAAUCCAGGACAGCUGAGUAUAAAAGGCAAGUAAAGUGGGAGAUGAGUUGGAAAAAUAGGGAGGUUCUGGUCGAUCACAUUAAAAUACUUGAAUUUCAUGUGAAAUGAGAAGCCAUUGAAAGUUGUUAAAGCUGGAGAGUGAUUUAGUCUUUGAAAGUAUUUUAAAGAUCACCUUGGUUGCUGCAGGGAGCUUUAGUGGAGGACCUUAAAGAGAGGAACUGGGGAGGCUAAUUAGGAGGAUAUGGCAAGAGAAUGUGUCCAAGGAGAAAGAAAGAGGCCUAUAAAUUGAAAGUACAUUUUGGAGGUAGAACCCAGGAACCUAAUGAUGGAUUGUUUAUCUAAUACAGUUGACCUUUGAACAACAUGGGUUUGAAAUGCAGAUCCACUUAUAUGCAGAUUUUUUUUUAUAAAUACAGUGCAGUAUUAUAAAUGCAAUUUCUCUUCCAAAUGAUUUUCUUAAUAACAUUCUUUUCUCUAGCUUACUUUAUGAUAAGAAUGCAGUAUAUAAUACAGAUACAAAAUACGUGUUAAUAGUCAUAUGUCCUUAUGUUAUCAGGAAGGCUUCCAGCCAACAAUAGGCUACUAGUUAAGUUUUGGGGGAGUCAAAAGUUAUAUGUGGAUUUUUGACUGCACGAGGGGCCAGCUCCCUAACUCCCACAUUGUUCAGGAUCAAAUGUACAGCUUAUAUUGAGAUAAUCAACAUCAUUUUAGGUUUUGGGCUUUUCACAUAUCAAUCCUAAAUAUUGAUGGCCCUGCCACUUGUAUGGUCUCAUUUUAGGCUGAUAAUAAUCAAUGAUACUCAUUGAGCACUUACUGGUUGCCAAAUGCUGUGCUAAGUGCUCUACUUUGAUAUCUCAUUGAAUUCUUCUUCUGAUCCUAUGGAAAGAUUUUUAGAGAUUAGGAAAUGGACAUUUACAGAAGUUAAGCAACUUGUCCAGCCAUUUGGCUUACAAAUAACACAUCUGGGAUUCAAUCUCUUUUCUCCAAUUUCAAAACUUGUUUUCUUAAGUACAAGCUGACAUUGCUCCGGCAUACCAAAAGCAAGAAUGAUAUAAUCACCUGCUUCUCAAGUGGUUCUAACAAUCCCUGUCUCCUGCUGUUUACUCCCUUAUAGAAUCUCCUUCCUUUGUGUGUAGUAUAGACCUUGUGACUUGCCUCUAACAAAUAGGAUAUAGCAAAAGUGAUAGGAUGCCACUUGGACAGUAGAUUUUACAAGACUGUGAUUUCAGUCUUAAUAGCACUCUUUCUUGCUCCCUCGCUCUCAUGCUCUGAUGCAGCAAGCUGCCACAUGAACUGCCAGAUGAAAAGCCCACAAUACCAGGAAUGAGGAAUAGCCCAAUGUAGAACUGAAUCCUGCCCACCAACAACCACGUGAGUGAGCAGGGAAGUGGAGGCUUCCCUCCUGGAGCGUUGAGAUUUCUGCAGCGAACACCUUGAUUGCAGCCUGUGAGAGAAUCUGAGCAAAGGUCCUAAUUAAGCCAUGCCCAGAUUCCUGACCUACAGAAAUUGAGGUAAUAAAUAUUGUAGCUUUAACCAACCAAGUUUCAGGAACAAUUUGUUACACAGCUAUUGACAACUAAUACAAAUGAAAAUGUCAGUGUUAAUGAUAUUAAUUAUCAUAAUAUCUUGCAUUUGUGUAAGGUCUCAAAUUUUUGCAAAGUAAAAGCAAGUUUCAAAAUAAUAAAAUUCGGGAAAAAUAUUACUAAUCAUCUUCCCUUAAAAUAUAGCAGCUGCGCUUGAAAGUACCACCUGCAUUUUCAACAAGAAAAAUUGGUUUAUUCACCUGGUUUUUAUUGCCUUAAUUCCCAUCUCUAAAACCAUUUGAAACAUGCUAUCUAGCAAGGGACUUAUUAUCUUCUUUAUACUAAGUUAUUAGUAACAAGGCACGUUUAAACCAUCUGGCCUGGAUGUUCUCUUGGACUUCAAAUUUGUAGCAGACAGUUGGAUUUCUUACCCUGUUCUGGGGUUUCCUAAUCCCUAUAUCAAUUCCCACUCCAAGAGAGGGACACGGAUUUUAAGCUGUCAAUCAGUAUUUUGCCAGUUGAGAUGAAAUAUAAAGGGCAAAAAAAAAAAAAAAAAAUUUACAUAAGUCCAGGGCUCAGAUUGGGCAAGACCACAAAGAAUCUUUCUAAAAAGUUUUCCCAGAAGGAGCUAAUUACUGUGGGAGAAAGUAAUCUUCAUGUUUGGCUUGAAUAACCACAGAAACAACAAAAUGCAAAUAUUUAAAAAAUGAUGGGAAAAUUAAAAGGAGAAAAACUUUUGAUUGCACUCUCACAGGGACUUAACUUUUUUUUUUUUUGAUGCAGUGAGUGUAAGUGUAAAUGUAUAUACCCGCACAUAUACAUUGACAGAAAGAGAAAUAAAGGACAUAUACGAAACAUUCAUUCAUUUCACAAAUAGUUUUUGAGCAUCUAAUAAGUGCCAGUGAAUGUAAGAGGUAUAACACAGUAUAGAACAAACACAGUCUCUACCCAGACAAAGCCCAAAUUCUAGUGAGAGAGAUAGAUAAGUAAAAGCUAAAGCAAUAAAUCAAUAAAUAAUUACAAGGUGUGAUAGUGAUUGAAAGUGAAAAGGAGGAAUUUUUUACAUUGGAUGUUCAGAAAAGGCUUGUCUGAGAACUAAAGGAAGGGUGGGGUCAACUAUGUCAGGAGCUGGGGGAAAGCUUUCCAGACAAAGGGAACAGCAAAUACAAAAGCCCAGCGAUCAGAACAAGCGUGGAAUGUUCUAGAAACUGUUAAAGGUCCGUGAGCCUGUUGGAAAGUGAGGUGAGCUGAAGUGGAGCAGUCGUCAUGGGCCAGAUCAUUUUGGGCUUUGUAGGCUCUGGAAAGGAGGGAAAUUUCACUCUUAAGUUUAAGAGAAUCUAUUGAAGGCUUUUAGGCUCCAAACGGCAUCAUCUGAUUUAUGUGUUUAAAAGAUCGUUCUCAUGGCUGUGUAUAGAACAGACUGUAAGCAAGCAAGACUGGACAUCAGAAGCUGAGUAGAGAGAGGUACUGGCUUGGAGCAGAGGGUGGCAAUAGACAUGAAGAAUAAUGGGCAGAUUUUGGAGGCAGGAUGAAAAGGGUGUACGAGCUAAAGGAAAGGAUGAAUCAAGGAAACCUCUUAGGUUUGGUGUUUGAAUUAAGUGAAUGUGGUGCCAUGUAUUGUUCUGGGAGGUCCCUAUAGAGAUCUCUGUAUUGAGGCACCCACGAGAUCAGUUUUGAACAUGCAAAGUUUGAGACGUCUGUGAGAUAUUCAAGUAAAGCUAUAAUUUAGGAAACAGGAUAUCUAAGUUUGAGCUGGAUAUAAUAAGUAUAAAGCCAAUUUUAUUCUCUGAUUGGCCUAAAUUACAAAUAUACACAGCAUGUGCUUGGUGAUUUAAUUCUUUGAUUUCUUAAGGAACUGAUCUGAAUCUCAGAUCCCUUUCAGUGCUUUUACAUUUUUCAUUGUCUCCAAACACAAACCGAUAUCAUUAAAAAUGUUUGUUGUUUCAUGCUUUUUCUAAUUUUUUAGUAUGCUAAUUUUCCUCUAUAAAAUAGACUUCUCAAUUAGUUAUGGAAAAGGGGAGAGAGUACUUGCUCUAAAGCAGGCAGGGACAACAUAACAUUAUUUCACUCACACAUAACAAUUCUCUAAUAUCUUUUUUUUUUUUUUUUUGCAGGUGAGGAAACUGAGGUUCACAGUAUUGAAGUAACAAUGACAUAUGGUUCAGAUUGGAAGCCAACUUUGGUUUUGGCACUAAAAACCAUGUCCCAUCUUUAGAGAGGCUAUAAAGCACAGAGUCUCUCCUUCUGUUUCUCUUUUAGUUCCCAUAUUUCUUUGCACUGUUUUUACAUCUCUUUUAUAGUUCAACACAACUGAACCCAAGAAGCACUUAGAGCAUCCCUGACAUUUGUGUUGCUGUUGGCUACACUUCUGCUGAGUUUUGGACAUGCUCUGUUCCUCACCUCCACCACUUGAUAGUAUCCUGCCAUUGUCUCAGCUGCUUAAUAAAAAGAAAGUCCCAAUAUCCGCUCUUCCCAGAAUGUCAUAAAUAGCUGCUAUUGCCUUGGCAAUUUUCUGGACCUCUGCAUCCAGUGAGGAUUGGCUGUUACCUAAACUGUUCAUUUUCUCCUGGCCAUAAUCCACAGGAAACUAGAUUCAUUAACUCUGAGGCUUGCUUAAUGGAACAAACAACUUGAUUUUCUUCCUCUUUUCUCUUUGUUCUUUCAUAAUAUGUUUUCUUACUAUAUUUCCUAUUCUGUUGUUUCACCUUUAAUUUCACUAUUUUCUUUUUAUGUUGUUUUAAAAAUAAUCCAAUGACCUUUCCCAGUCUCCGUUUUUCCCCCUGCAUUUGUAUUUUCCAGACUAGUACUAUUUGAAUCUUAGUACUUAUUUGUUUAAACAAACUAAUAGCCCUGGCACAGGACUUGAUGAUUCUAUUUCAGAAAGAAACUAGUCAUUAGAAGAUAUACACAUCUUAAUCAGAUACACUAGUCAAAGGAACUCCCACAUUAUUUUUUAAUACAAACUCCUCUGCAGUGAUUUCUAUGUGUCAGUCACUGUUAUAAACUGUGAGCUAUCACUUAAUCCUCCCAGCCAGUCUCUGAGAGUGGCUACUAUUAUUAUCUGCAUGUUUCAAGUGAAGACACCCCCAAUAAAGUAGAACAGGUACUCAGAAUAGAAAAAUCUAUAUUCACUUUCACACAUGGAGAUGGAAUCAAACCCUAAUCACCUGACAUUAGCAUAUAUUUGGGGUAUUGUAUAAAAGGGAAGGGGGAAGGAACCAGAAAAUGGGGUUUCUGAUUAUGCAAAGAUGUGGUCUGUUCCCAGGAGAAGGGAGUGGAGUUGCAGAUGGAGAGAACUGAAGAAGAAGGCAUGACUUAUCCCGUAAGCAGGAGAGGCAGGCUAUGAAGGAAGACUGACCUCCUUGCAAAGGUAGAUGUCUCUGGUGCCCUUCCUUUUGAUACGAAAAUAAAAUGUUUUAUGUUAGCUAGAACAUUAUUCUUUUCCUGCUAGCACUCUAUAGAGAAAUUUGCAUACACCUGCACAGUAUGGUAGACUUAUCUGAAGAGACCAAAGAAACAUGAUGGCCUCAGGGAAGUGGACUAUGGGUCAGGGUUCUAAGUAGUGAUUGGCAGUACUCUUGGGUGGUCCCAGUGGGUGGCCCCAGUGGGAGCAAUUGUAGAGAAGCAUUCUAGGAAAAUGUAAAGCCAAAACCUGGCUACUGUAUAAAGAUUGCUAUGAAUGGGGAAAAGAGGGAGCUAGGAAACAUUUGUAUUUCAUAACACAUACGAAUUGCUUAUAUGAUAGGAAAAGAAUACAAAUAUGAUUUUUCAUAUAUAAGCUUAUGUCAUUAUAUGUUGUAUUGUGACACCCUGAUGGCAUUUGAAUGUUAAAAAAAAAUCACAAGACCAGGAGUAGCUCAUCACUUUGCACAAGUAUCCUUGUACAAACAAGUUUUUGGUGAGAGGUCCUGGCUUAUCAAUAGCAACACAGUUGAGUUCUAUUUGAACCACAAAGUAUGCAUGACCUAGAAUCAAGUAUUUGGAAAAUUAAAGAUCAACUUAAAAUAAGCCUACACUGUAAGCGUAACCAAAGAAUGCAAAACAAAUUAAAUCGAUAAUGAUAAAACUAAUAGUCUUGUAUCAUUAAAGAGUAAGAGUCAUGGUGAAUAAGAAGUAUGACCAAUCCAACAUAAUGUCAUUGAUAUACUGAUUCUAAGGGAAGUAGGACUUUCAAGCAUCUGUAACACGUAAGUAGUAAACCCUUUUUGCAAAGCUGCUUACCAGCUGGUAGAAUACUGAUUUAGAGUCUUUGGUAAAUUCUAGAAUAAGUUUAAUUUAGCUCAUAAAUACCACAUUUGAGGAAUUCUUAAUAAAUCACUCUCUAUAACAGUUAGGAAUGCUUUGGGCCGCAUAUUACAGAAAACUCCAGCUGACAGUGGCUUAAGCCAUAAGAAUAUUGUUCAUGUAACCAUAAAAAAUUGGGUGCUUCUGGUUUGGGGAUCAGAUGAGCAGGUCCAAAUUUUAGGGCGUUUGGCUGAUGUAUCUGUGAUUCUCUAGGUCUUUCAAGAGGCACCAGGCAUCCUGUUCUCAGGCCUAAGAAUUAAAAGACAAGAAGGAAGGGUAUGGCCAGAGUGGUGAGGAGUUUCUCUUUCAUGCCUUUCUGCUUUUAUCCAGGAGGAAAAAAUCUUCCCUAGAAGUCUACUCAGAAGACCUCCUCCUAUGUCACAUUGACCAGAACUGUGUCCUAGGAGCAAAUAAGCUUCAAGGGAGACCAGAAAGAUGAAUCUAUAUAUUUUUUUUCUUUUUUCUUUUUCCCCAGCUUCUAGAGAGAGAAAUGAGCAAGGAAGAAGGAAUUUGAAAAUGGUUAUUGGAGGGGCGCCUGGGUGGCUCAGUAGGUUAAACAUCCGGCUUUGGCUCAGGUCAUGAUCUCGUGGUUCACGAGUUCGAGCCCCAUGUCAGGCUCUGUGCUGACAGCUUGGAGCCUGGAACCUGCUUCGGAUUCUGUGUCUCCCUCUCUCUCUCUGUCUCUGCCCCUCUCCUACUCGUUCUCUG
This 11867-nucleotide long non-coding RNA is filed under the name Lynx pardinus (Iberian lynx). Lineage: Eukaryota; Metazoa; Chordata; Mammalia; Carnivora; Felidae. The record is from RNAcentral.